CGUGUGACUGGCGGAGCAAGUGGGAAAACCACAGGGAGCACGUUUCAGAUUGAGCCGACCGCCUGGGCACCUC
This 73-nucleotide non-coding RNA is filed under the name human gut metagenome. RNAcentral's name for it is "ZMP/ZTP riboswitch". It matches the Rfam family "ZMP/ZTP riboswitch aptamer (pfl RNA motif)", at positions 8 to 82 of the family's 86-position model. From Rfam's summary of the family: Previously known as pfl RNA. ZMP is also known as AICAR. The record is from RNAcentral.